AGUAACGUAUAACAUAUAUUUAUAUAAGAGGAUUUUACGUAUUAAAACUAAAAUAGCUAUUAAUAAUGUCGCAAUUUCAUAAAGAUACCUUUACUUAUAUUCCAAUACUAUUUUGAUUUUGAAUAAAGAAAUCUCAGUACCAAAAAAAGGAAAAGAAUAUAUGCUAAAAAAGCCUGAAAAAUACGAAAUUUUUGUUGAGAAAUUUCAAAAAACCAUUGGUAACUUUAGCCAGUGGCUGCUAUUCUACUUUUUUUUCUUUUUUAAAAAAAAAAAAAAGAAAGGAAAAAGAAAUACUGAUGGCUGAUAAUAUGCAAGUUUGCUGAAUCUUUCGAUCAAAUCCUACUAGUUUACUAGCCCAUAAAAGGCUCCUCUAUAAGUGGAGAUAUGCUAAAGUUACAGCUAAGCUAAAAGUUUUCAUUUCGUUUUCAUCUAAAAGAAAAAAGGGUUGCUUGCUCAUAUUCUUUGUUAUUUUCCAUUGGUGACUAUCUUUUUAUAUUCGAUAUUCCAUGCCUUGAAAAAUUUCAGAAAACAUGAGUAAAGAACUUUUAUGUAGAUGUCAUAUCAGAGAGUAAUUUUAGAUAGAGCUGUUGAUGCUCUCCUUCUGCUUUGGAGCGCCAGAGAGCUGUAUGACUUUGAGCAUCAUCCUCUUAGUUAUACGCUGCAAAAGUUGUCCUUCUUCAGCUAAAGAAUGUAGGUCCUCACUCCUCGGCAGCAGGAUCACCCAUUACUGCUUUUUCUCCCACCCCCACCCGACCUAAAUCUGUUAAUCCAGUAUCAAUCAGUUAAAAGUUGUGACAGAAAAGCGAAAUGGCUCGUUUGUUGUGUUCAAACUCGCAAACACAACGGUCAUCAGCUAGUAUGGCCAUGGAUGCCAUCAGAAAUAAGACUCCUCAAGGUGGGUGAGGUCGGAUGGUAGAUUCCUUCUGCCACGAAUGACCAGUUCACUCAGAGAGUGCGAGGCAAGAUAAAUCUCAUUGCCAUAUUUACUGGACAUACCAAUGGAAACAAGGAUUGUAUUUAUUUUGAAGUAGGUAUGGUUAGAGUUGUUUAGGCAACUAAAUCUUUAUAAGGUUCAUCUGCCCACAAAAAUUAUUUAAUUGGUGUCGAGCACCAGCCGCAUGCAUGGAAGGGAAGUAAUUUCAGGCAAGAGGUAGGUUCCUCGAGCAGACAGAAGUUAUAGGAAAACAUAAGAGGAGUUCCUAGCUAGCUUUAGCGGAAACUAUAUUUCCUAACUCUAGCAACUUGCUUGAAGCUUAAGCUUAUUCAACACAUUAGAUGCCAAAACAUGAGGGAAUUCAAACAGAAUUUAUAUUGUGAGUGAUGAUAGUAGGAGGAGAAAGAAAUUUUUUAACAGAAUUAUGGCCAAAUAGAGGUAAUUCAAGGAGCACUUAUAAAAUGGUGUACAAAAGCUAAAAAAAAUAUGAUACAUUUUGAGGAUUGCAACAUUGCUUACAUCCUUGAAUAACCCCUAUGGUCUUCAUAUUCCUCCAUGAACUCAUCAUUGAACUUCUUGAAACUGGCCAUGAUUGCUGGCAUGUCUUCUUCAGCUGGUAAAA
Molecule: long non-coding RNA, 1556 nt
Organism: Ricinus communis (castor bean)
Lineage: Eukaryota; Viridiplantae; Streptophyta; Magnoliopsida; Malpighiales; Euphorbiaceae
Exons: 2
Source: RefSeq, a predicted model, not a curated record